Molecule: ribosomal RNA, 253 nt
Filed under: uncultured bacterium
Lineage: Bacteria
Description: partial 16S ribosomal RNA
Rfam family: Bacterial small subunit ribosomal RNA
Source: RNAcentral
UACGUAGGGGGCAAGCGUUGUCCGGAUUUAUUGGGCGUAAAGAGCGUGUAGGCGGCCAGAUAGGUCUGUUGUGAAAACUCGAGGCUCAACCUCGAGACGCCGAUGGAAACCAUUUGGCUAGAGUCCGGAAGAGGAGAGUGGAAUUCCUGGUGUAGCGGUGAAAUGCGCAGAUAUCAGGAAGAACACCCGUGGCUAAGGCGGCUCUCUGGGACGGUACUGACGCUGAGACGCGAAAGCGUGGGGAGCGAACAGG